AAGAUGAACGCUGGCGGCGUGCUUAACACAUGCAAGUCGAACGGUGAACUUGGGAGCUUGCUCUCGGGGGAUCAGUGGCGAACGGGUGAGUAACACGUGAGUAACCUGCCCUUGACUCUGGGAUAAGCACUGGAAACGGUGUCUAAUACCGGAUACGACCCUCGGAGGCAUCUCCGAGGGGGUGGAAAGAAUUUUGGCAAGGAUGGACUCGCGGCCUAUCAGGUAGUUGGUGAGGUAAAGGCUCACCAAGCCUACGACGGGUAGCCGGCCUGAGAGGGUGACCGGCCACACUGGGACUGAGACACGGCCCAGACUCCUACGGGAGGCAGCAGUGGGGAAUAUUGCACAAUGGGCGAAAGCCUGAUGCAGCAACGCCGCGUGAGGACGAAGGCCUUCGGGUUGUAACCUCUUUAAGUAGGUAAGAAGACGAAAGUGACGGUACUGCAGAAAAGCGACCGACUAACUACGU
RNAcentral lists this ribosomal RNA (469 nucleotides) under uncultured soil bacterium. RNAcentral describes it as "bacterial SSU rRNA". It matches the Rfam family "Bacterial small subunit ribosomal RNA", at positions 26 to 506 of the family's 1533-position model. The record is from RNAcentral.